Long non-coding RNA from Hemicordylus capensis (graceful crag lizard), 356 nucleotides. RefSeq lists it as uncharacterized. The transcript is spliced from 3 exons. NCBI's taxonomy places the organism in Eukaryota, Metazoa, Chordata, Lepidosauria, Squamata, Cordylidae. The record is from RefSeq and is a predicted model, not a curated record.
AGAACAGCAACUCCACUCUCCUGGGAUCACUAGAAAUUGGGGCUCCCCUCUCCUGCAAUUCCAUGUGGCGGCAGAUCUACAUAGAGUGCAACAACUGUCCGAACCCGCCUACAGAGAUCUCCCAAAAUAUGGUUCCUGAAGGCAGUGUGACCAUCAGCGACAUAGUUUCAGGAAUCACAGUCAGUUUCAGAGGGAAGGGGAGAGCAACAAAAAUCCAAUACAGAGUUCCAAGAAGACCUAGGAAAAUAGGGAAGAGCCAGGUUUUUAACACUCAACAAUCAGAUCAAUAGUUACAAAACAGCAUCAUCCCCAAGAGAAGCCCAAGAUUUUUCUCCAAUUCAAACAACUAUGAUUCA